UACAGAGGUCCCGAGCGUUGUUCGGAAUCAUUGGGCGUAAAGGGUGCGUAGGCGGCGGGGCAAGUCUGAUGUGAAAUCCCGGGGCUCAACCCCGGAACUGCAUUGGAUACUGCCUUGCUUGAGUACUGGAGAGGAGACUGGAAUUUACGGUGUAGCAGUGAAAUGCGUAGAUAUCGUAAGGAAGGCCAGUGGUGAAGGCGAGUCUCUGGACAGGUACUGACGCUGAGGCACGAAGGCCAGGGGAGCAAACGGG
RNAcentral lists this ribosomal RNA (253 nucleotides) under uncultured bacterium. RNAcentral describes it as "partial 16S ribosomal RNA". It matches the Rfam family "Bacterial small subunit ribosomal RNA", at positions 524 to 776 of the family's 1533-position model. The record is from RNAcentral.